AGGGAAGGGAUCAGGGAAAGGAUCAGGGAAGGGAUCCGGAAAGGAUCCGGGAAAGGACCGGGGAAGGGAUCAGGGAAAGGAUGAGGGAAAGGAUGCGGGAAAAGGUCAGGGAAGGGAUCGGGGCAGGGAUACGGAAAAGAAACGGAUCAGGGAUGCGAGCAGGGAUUUGGGGCUGUCCCGCAUCCAUCCCUGGAGCCCUCGGGGGGACAGGGAUAACCCCAGUUCCAGAGCCCUGGGGGUACCGGGAUAACCCCAGUUCCAGAGCCCUGGGGGGACCGGGAUAACCCCAAUUCCCGAGCCCUGGGGGGACCGGGAUAACCCCAGUUCCAGAGCCCUGGGGGGACCGGGAUAACCCCAGUUCCAGAGCCCUGGGGGGACCGGGAUAACCCCAAUUCCAGAGCCCUGGGGGUACCGGGAUAACCCCAAUUCCAGAGCCCUGGGGGUACCGGGAUAACCCCAAUUCCAGAGCCCUGGGGGGACCGGGAUGUGGCUCCAUCCAGCGGAGCCCAAUCCCCCGGGAGCGGCGGGGGGAGGACGCUCCCGUUAUCCGGCUCCUGCCGCACCAGCCGUGCAUUACCAGAUUAUCCCGAGCGUUUGGGAUCUCCGGGAGCCAGGGAAGCGCUCGCGGGAGGAGCACAAGGCUGCAGUCGCGGCCCCAUUUCUCUGCUGCCGGCAUUCCCAAGCCAGCCCAACGGAGCCCUCGGAGAGCGCGAUGGACGAGUGGGAUCUCCCACAAUGGAAAAAAGAGGUGGAAAGCCUCAAGUACCAGCUGGCCUACAAGAGGGAGAUGUCCUCCAAGACCAUACCUGAGUGAGUGGGGGCUUCCCUUCCCCUUCCCCUUCCCCGGGGUUCCCAGAUGAGAUUUUUCCCUUUCAGGAUCUCCAAGCCCCAUGGGUAGAACCCCCUCGGUGUCCCCCAGCCCUUUCCAGCUGCCCAGGCUCUGCUGCUCCUGGGCUGUGGUGGCACCACGGCACCUCCUGGCCCCUGGGAGCCCCCCAGGGUGCAGAUCCCCCCCUUUUCCAGAGCUUUCCAGAGCUCAAAAGACUGGAAAUUACGGAUGGUUCUGUUCCCUCCCUGCUUUGUGGCAGAGCUGGGGACACCCCCAUGUCCCCCCAGUGGAUCAGGGGCAUCCCAGGAUCCCCUGGAUUUACCCCAGACCCCCCAAAAUCCCCAAUUUUGCUGGCCUGGGGCUGUG
RNAcentral lists this long non-coding RNA (1195 nucleotides) under Cyanistes caeruleus (blue tit). RNAcentral describes it as "lncRNA (ENSCCEG00000023117.1)". The record is from RNAcentral. Lineage: Eukaryota; Metazoa; Chordata; Aves; Passeriformes; Paridae.